Molecule: long non-coding RNA, 1346 nt
Filed under: Drosophila melanogaster (fruit fly)
Lineage: Eukaryota; Metazoa; Arthropoda; Insecta; Diptera; Drosophilidae
Description: antisense RNA:CR46485 (Dmel_CR46485)
Source: RNAcentral
UGCAUAUCAUACUGAUUUGAUAUUUUGCAUUUGUAUAUAUGCAUUUGUGUAUGUAUAUUUAUUUACCUCUGGCUUUACGCUGAUGUCGAAGGGUAGGAUGGCCUUGUUCUCCCGAUAAGGUUCCUUCAAUGUUGGACCCCAGUAGGCGUUGUUGUCCAGAUCGGGUCUCUUGCCGGGCGCCGAGAGAUCGCGAUAGUUCUUAUAGCCAACGGCCACCAGGAUGGUCAGAGCUCCGACCAAGAUUCGUGGCCAGAUGUUCGCCAUUGUGUGUUUAUGCUAUAUUCUUUAUAUAUUCUAUAUACACAGAUCGGCGAACUGCGCAACUCCUCGCUUACGAUCGUCGAGCACAAAUGAUUUGUAAAGCGCAAGCUACCGGCAAACAAAAGCUUUUUGUUGGCUUGUGGAUUUCAAGUGGAUCGUAUUCCACACGGCAAUGCAAUGCGAGCAUGAUUGGACAAAUAAUUUGAGAAUUUCGGCGAGCUUUUGGCAACAAAUUGAGCCAAUUUUUCCCACAAAGGCGGUAAAAUCAUUGAACAACAUGGCCGGCAUCUCCAGGGCGGCAAAGUGGCUGCCCUGCUGGAAGUACAUCGAGUGGGUCAGGUUGGGGAACUUGUCCCUCAGCUGCCAGUCAGUCACCGAGGCCAGAUCGAACCGGAAGCGGGCACAGCCCAUGGGAACCGGGGACUGCACACGAUCCAGCUGGAGAUCCCUGUACGUCUUGGACACGUUCUCCAGGUAGAAACGAGCCGCUGUCGUGGCCGAGUUCGUCAGAUAGUAGACCAUCAGGUUGUCCAGCACAGCCUCCAGGCCGAAGACAGUGACUAUGGCGCCAAAGUCCUGCUUCAGGCCGGGAUUUGUGCAGGUCUGGAAUUUCUCGAGGAUAUAGGAGGCCAAGCCGACGGGACUGGAGGUCAGAGCCGCUCCAAUCGUAUCCGGCUUGGUGGCCUGGAUGUGAAAGUAACCGCUUUCCUCCAGCAGCUCCAGCCAUUUUUCCCACACGGGGAAGUGAUGAUCCACAAAGAAUCUGGACGGCAAGUACUUCUCCGGGAAGAAGCUGCCGUAGAUUCCCUUCAGAAUGGCCAGUGGCGUGUGCAGAACGCACAUGUUCGAGUGGUAACCGAUUACGUUCUCUGGAUACAAGGUGGCCAAGUUGCUGCCAAUGAUGCUGCCCCAAUCUCCGCCUUGGAUGAAGAACUUCUUGUGGCCCAGACGCAGCAUCAGGUUACGCAUCACAGUGGCCAUUUCAGCGGCAUUAAAUCCGGGACGCGUGGCAGCCUUAAGUUAUAAUAAUAAUAAUAAUAAUUAAAAUGAAGAAAUUCAACUGAAAAACAAAUAACACUCACAUC